UACGUAGGGGGCAAGCGUUGUCCGGAUUCAUUGGGCGUAAAGAGCGUGUAGGCGGCCAGGUAGGUCGGUUGUGAAAACUGGAGGCUCAACCUUCAGAGGUCGACCGAAACCAUCUGGCUAGAGUCCGGGAGAGGAGAGUGGAAUUCCUGGUGUAGCGGUGAAAUGCGCAGAUAUCAGGAAGAACACCCGUGGCGAAAGCGGCUCUCUGGAACGGUACUGACGCUGAGACGCGAAAGCGUGAGGAGCGAACAGG
Molecule: ribosomal RNA, 253 nt
Filed under: uncultured bacterium
Lineage: Bacteria
Description: partial 16S ribosomal RNA
Rfam family: Bacterial small subunit ribosomal RNA
Source: RNAcentral